Molecule: non-coding RNA, 776 nt
Organism: Taeniopygia guttata (zebra finch)
Lineage: Eukaryota; Metazoa; Chordata; Aves; Passeriformes; Estrildidae
Source: RefSeq, a predicted model, not a curated record
UUCCAUUCCCCUGUUUCCCCUGAUAGGUUUGUGAUGUGUUAGUCCCUCCUUAGACUCCUCCCCUGCUCUACCCUCAUUGGUUGUUGUUCCUACUCCCCUCCUCCUGAGUUCCUCUAUAAAACCUUUGUUCGCCCUCCCCAGAGGGUCUUGGGGCUCACUGAAUAAAACCAUCCUGUUCAUCCCCAAGUCCCGUGUUGCCUCCGUCCGUCCCCGUGCUGACAACUGGGACUGCAGAGCUUCACAGGGGGAGUGACCGCCCGUUCUCUUCCCUCUUGCCGCCCAGCAUGCCACCGCUCGGGGUAUCGCGGCGAGAAGAGCUGACCACGACAUCUAUGUGCAAUAAAUACACUUAUGAUUGAAGGAGAAAUUAAAAAUCUAAAACAUAAAAGGGCUAAGAGAAUCUGUGGAAACAGAGUGGACUGAUGUAAAAAAUGCCAGAAAAUGUUCUUCUAAUGAGCAUGGAAAAAGCUCUUGAAGUGGAUCCAUUGAUGCUACGUAGGUGAACUGCUGAAAUCAGUAUUCCUGUUUUGUCUCAAGGUUGCUGCGAGUGUCAUACCUGGGAAUUUUUUGGCAAGUACUGUGGCACAAAAAUCCAUGCAUUCUGACCAGAAUACUGAUUAUGUUACAAUUCCCUGACCCAGUAAAGGGUCAUAGAAAAACACAACUAUUGGCUUUUAUAAAUGAAACGUGAGCAGAAGCCUGGAGUUGUUUUCAUGAAUAUUCAAAGACACAAACAGAAAGAAAUAAAUUAUUUCCAUUACCUGUCCUUAUUUUAA